Molecule: RNA transcript, 2757 nt
Organism: Triticum aestivum (bread wheat)
Lineage: Eukaryota; Viridiplantae; Streptophyta; Magnoliopsida; Poales; Poaceae
Exons: 16
Source: RefSeq, a predicted model, not a curated record
GCCCCCGUCCGUCCUGUGGUCGUCCUGGUCUCCCCUUUCCCCCGACGACUGAUUUCCUCCUCUGCUUCUCCCCCGUUUCUUCUGUUUCCUCCUCUGCUUCUCCCCCGACGACUUCUCUUCUUCCCCCAAGACUGAUUUUGAAUCUUAGGCGAAUCUUAGGCGAAUCAGGCGGAUCGACGAACCGUAAUCUGACUGCUUCUUCUGUGUUCUUCUUCGUCCGUCUCGUGAUGGAUUCCUCUGGACAAGAAGGAGGUGGGGUUGCCCAAGUUGUUGAUCCAGAAGGGGAGGAACAAACUGAAUAUCCCCCUCAAGGUCUCCGCAAUGACUCAGCCCAAGAAGGAGGUGGGGUUGCCCAAGUUGAUGAACCAGAAGGUGAGGAACCAACUGAAUAUCCGCCACGAGGUCUCCGCAAUGACUCAGCUCGGGUAUUCCCUCACAAGUUAUGCAAGUCUACUUACAUUACCAGACUGUCUUUCAAGCGUUGGGAAAAAACUGUGAAGCAGUUUAGUGACAUUCAGUUAGGCCAUGUGAGAAAGUACAAAAUGGAAGCUCUACUUCAUAUGCCAAAGAAACUUAAAAUCCCCAUGAAUCUGCUUGAAUGGAUAGAUCAACACAUGUUUGGAACUAAAGAGCCCUGUUUCAAGCAUAAGAAUAAAGUUAUCAAGAUUACUAAAGAUAUGGUCGACAAAAUUUUCGAUUUCCCUGGUGGCACCAAGCCUUUUGUAUUCAGUAGCGAUGAUCCCCAAGUGAAAGCAGAGGUUACACAGUUGAGGAACAAGUAUAUUGAUCAUCGGAACAAAAUGCUAAUUAAUAAAAUAGAGGAGGUGAUGCUUAGUGAUGAGACAGAAGAUGGUUUUAUUAGGAGCUUCACAUUUUAUUUUCUAUCAUCUAUUUUGUGCCCUGCAUCAUAUUGUUUUGGCAACACCAAGUUCUUGUACUCUCUAAGAGAUGUUUCUGCUAUUCCUUCUCUCGACUUUGCGCAAUUGGCACUGGAUUUCAUGCGUGAGGAGUCAGAGCGUCACUUAGAAAUGAUCAUGAACAGACCAAGUGUUGAGGAAAUGAACAAGUCUUCAUAUAUUGGGGGAUGUCUUCCUAUUUGGGGAAUCAUUUAUCUGGAUUUUGUUGAUUUCGAUUUUAUUGAUAAUCAUCAGUCUACUGUGGAUUAUUCUCUUCCACGGAUAUGUCAUGUUAAGACAGAAGAUUUCAAGUAUCUUGCAUUGGUUGAUAGGAAUUAUGAGUCUAGGAAAUUUUUUGGUGUUUUACCACUGCGAGACAUAUCACAUACCCCAUAUUACAAUGUCGGGCCUAUUAACAAUGCUCCCGACGCUGAUGGUGUGAUUAACUCAACUCCUUAUGUGGAGGUCAACAAUGCAAAUAGUGUUCCUGAAGCUCUACAUGAGAACACGUCAAUUGAUUCAAAAAGUCCUCAUACCAUUUCAGAAAUUCCCAGUUCCACUGCAAAAGUUGAAGCAGAUUUAAAACCAAAACCAGAGCCACAUUUGAAAACAGAGGUUCCCUCCAGUGAUGUCCUUAAGCCGGAGCCAAUCGGACCAAAAUUUGAGAACAUUUUUGUCCUGAAUUCGGUGUACAAAACACCAAUAUUCCCAGCUCAUACUUCAAAUGUGAACACCAACUCUGUCCACCAAGAAACUACUUCACAACCUAAGGAAGUAGUUUUUCUAUCAGCUAAAGCAGAUGAUAUCAAAUUUUCCACUGAAGUUAAUGCAAAAAGAAGUUUUAUACUCAUCAGUUCUGCCUCUGGAAAUGAAAGAGUCAAGCGUUUUCAAGGAACUCCAAUUCUUAUUGAUGAUGAUUCUCCUACCACUCCUGCUGCCGCGACUAACGAAGUGAUACCAGCCUCUCACUGUGAUACAAGUGAAGGAAUUCCAAUGAACAUGGAGUUUUCUGUCCAACUAGGCUAUUCUUCAUUGAAUAAUGCAGAAGCUGGACCAAGUACAAGACCUAAUACAAUUGAAAAGAAGAACAGGAAAAAAAGAGCAGCUAAACUUCAAUCUCCUGAUGCACCAAAGAAACUGAAAAUAUCUCAAGAAGUGGACAUUUUCUUCUCCAAAUAUUUGAGGAAGCCUAUCUUUCAAGAAUAAAUAAAUUGUUGGUUCCUCCUGAGUCAUUUGAUCCUAUUAGUUGCAUACGAGAAUUUGACAGGAUUAAUUCAGAAGAAAGCAUCUGGAAACAAGACUUUUUAUACUUCCCUACCAUAAAAUCAAAUCACUGGGUUCUACUUUCCAUCAACUCUCUGUUUGAGAAAUCUCACUUUUUUGAUCCAUGUGGUACUAUUCUGGAUACUACCCAACAAGAACUUGUCUAUAACUUGCUCUCCAACUACAACAUGCUUUGCAAGCUGAGUAAAAAGCCAUUCAAGAACAUAUUCUCUUUCAAGCUUCAACCAGUAGGCCCUUACCCAACAAACUGUCUCUUGCAUGACUCAGGCCACUAUCUGCCUUUAUACAUGGAAAAUUUUGAAGGCAAAGCUAUGAAGAGUUUCAAUGAGGGCAACAUUCCGAAGUACAGAAUGAUUUAUGCAUUCAAGUUAUUCAAAAGCACUUUGAACAAGCUGAAAGAAGGAGAUCUGCCAAUACCAAAUUGACUUUUCCGCAAGAUGCAUACGCAAACAGUUUUCAAUGUGUAACUGAUUGGAACAAAACAUGUAUUUUCAUGUCUUCAAACAAUUACAUCUGUAAUCAUAUGGUAGUAGAUUCACGGUACUAGAUGUUUAAACUUUUUGCUACCACGAGCUAC